AAAGAAAGUAAGCAAGGGCGCAUGGCGGAUGCCUUGGCUCUCGGAGGCGAUGAAGGACGUGAUAAGCUGCGAUAAGCUUCGGGCAGGUGCAAAUAACCUUUGAUCCGAAGAUUUCCGAAUGGGACAACCCGUCAUUCUGAAGGAAUGACAUCUUGCAUAGCAAGAGGCUAACACAGGGAACUGAAACAUCUUAGUACCUGUAGGAAAAGAAAAUAAUAAUGAUUCCCCUAGUAGUGGCGAGCGAACGGGGAUUAGCCCAAACCAAUGUUGUUACGGCAAUAUUGGGGUUGUAGGACCACGAUGUCGCAAGAAUUUUAGUGAGAAGAAUUCUUUGGAAAAUGAAACCAUAGACGGUGAUAGUCCGGUAUUCGAAGCUAAAUGAAGCGUAGUGGUAUCCUGAGUAGCGCGGGACACGAGGAAUCUUGCGUGAAUCUGCCGGGACCAUCCGGUAAGGCUAAAUACUCCCGAGAGACCGAUAGCGAACCAGUACUGUGAAGGAAAGGUGAAAAGCACUUCGAAUAGAAGAGUGAAAUAGUCCCUGAAACCGUGCGCCUACAAGCGGUCGGAGCUGCUUCAGCAGUGACGGCGUGCCUUUUGCAUAAUGAACCUACGAGUUACUUUUUCCGGCAAGGUUAAGGAUCUUGAGAUCCGCAGCCGAAGCGAAAGCGAGUCUUAACA
This 678-nucleotide ribosomal RNA is filed under the name Parabacteroides distasonis. RNAcentral's name for it is "partial 23S ribosomal RNA". It matches the Rfam family "Bacterial large subunit ribosomal RNA", at positions 1 to 689 of the family's 2925-position model. The record is from RNAcentral. Lineage: Bacteria; Pseudomonadati; Bacteroidota; Bacteroidia; Bacteroidales; Tannerellaceae.